GACGAACGCUGGCGGCGCGCUUAACACAUGCAAGUCGAACGGAAAGGCCUGCUUUCCCUUGUGGAUUGCGGGUACUCGAGUGGCGAACGGGUGAGUAACACGUGAGUGAUCUGCCCCCAACUUGGGUAUAAGCCUGGGAAACUGGGUCUAAUUCCCGAUAGGACUGCAGGGUGGUGCCUGUGGUGGCAAACGAUUUUCUAGUGGUUGGGGAUGAGCUCGCGGCCUAUCAGCUUGUUGGUGGGGUAAUGGCCUACCAAGGCGGCGACGGGUAGCCGGCCUGAGAGGGUGGACGGCCACAGUGGGACAGGGAUACGGCCCAGACUCCUACGGGAGGCAGGAGUGGGGAAUAUUGCACAAUGGGCGGAAGCCUGAUGCAGCGACGCCGCGUGGGGGAUGACGGCCUUCGGGUUGUAAACUCCUUUCGACCGAGAGGAAGCCACCUGGUUGGAAGGGUGGUGACGGUAGUGGUAGAAGAAGCACCGGCUAACUACGUG
RNAcentral lists this ribosomal RNA (494 nucleotides) under uncultured bacterium. RNAcentral's name for it is "partial 16S ribosomal RNA". It matches the Rfam family "Bacterial small subunit ribosomal RNA", at positions 28 to 507 of the family's 1533-position model. The record is from RNAcentral.